CGACAAUUGCGCUCUGAUGCUGUUCCAACCAUAGACUCUGUAAAAGGCAUUUCAAUCCAAGGUGAUAAGAGCAAUCGCGACCGUAGAGUUGUGUUGCGUGAAGUGACACGAAGUGUAAAAGAUGUUGAACCCGCUGUUAAACAUACUGAUGAUGAAGGGAAUUCUGACGAGUGUAACACGACAGAAUGUCUCGAAGGUUUUGAUUAAACAUUAAAUGGUUGGCAUCCAAAGAUGACCCACUUUUCUUGGCUUGGUACAUAUUGCAGGCACGUACUGGCAGUACUUCAUUUCAAUGAAAGCCUUCACAGACAGCCAAAAAAAACAAAAAAUGGAACACCAUAUUAUUCUGUGACAUACCCAAAAUUUAAAUCAGGGGAUGAAGUAGUAAGAACUGUUUCUUCAGCACCAUCAUAUUUUGUGAGGAAUCCAUGGACAACAUAUUUAAGAAGUAUA
Molecule: long non-coding RNA, 453 nt
Organism: Xenia sp. Carnegie-2017
Lineage: Eukaryota; Metazoa; Cnidaria; Anthozoa; Malacalcyonacea; Xeniidae
Exons: 4
Source: RefSeq, a predicted model, not a curated record